AGAUGAGUCUUUUGGCAAAGCGCCGUCCAAGUUCCCUGGAACGGGACGCCAGAGAGGGUGAGAGCCCCGUACCGACGCGCGCCUCGCCUUUGCAAAGCUCAUUCGACGAGUCGAGUAGUUUGGAAAUGCUGCUCUAAUUGUGGGGUAAAUCUCCCAUAAGGCUAAAUACUGGCCAGAGACCGAUAGCGCACAAGUAGCGUGAGCGAAAGAUGAAAAGAGCCUUGAACAAGGGCGUCAAAAAGCAUGUGAAAUUGUUAUGGGGGAAGCGCUCAAUGCCAGACGUGGUGGCGGUUGGUUACCCGGCGUUCUUCGCCGGCGCACUCUGCCGUCACCAGGCCAGCAUCAGUUUGGUUUGGGGUUACUACCACUGGGAACGUGGCUCUUCGGAGUGUUAUAGCCCUGCGGUGACGCCCUGGACCGGACUGAGGAACGCGCAUCUGCCCGGAUGCUGGCUUAAUGGCCUUUAGCGACCCGUCUUGAAACACGGACCAAGGAGUUGACCUAGUAUGCGAGUGUUUGGGUGUUAAGCCCUUACGCGUAGUGAAAGCGAACGUAGAUGGGAGCUUCGGCGCACCAUCGACCGAUCCUGAUGUUUUCGGAUGGAUUUGAGUAGGAGCAUGCUGGGUCUGACCCGAAAGAAGGUGAACUAUGCAUGAAUAGGGUGAAGCCAGAGGAAACUCUGGUGG
RNAcentral lists this ribosomal RNA (686 nucleotides) under Adelosphaeria catenata. Its description in RNAcentral is "LSU rRNA". It matches the Rfam family "Eukaryotic large subunit ribosomal RNA", at positions 151 to 870 of the family's 3401-position model. The record is from RNAcentral. Lineage: Eukaryota; Fungi; Ascomycota; Sordariomycetes; Pleurotheciales; Pleurotheciaceae.